This 439-nucleotide ribosomal RNA is filed under the name uncultured bacterium. Its description in RNAcentral is "partial 16S ribosomal RNA". It matches the Rfam family "Bacterial small subunit ribosomal RNA", at positions 342 to 795 of the family's 1533-position model. The record is from RNAcentral.
CGGGCCGCACCAGCAGUGAGGAAUAUUGCACAAUGGGGGGAACCCUGAUGCAGCAACGCCGCGUGGAGGAUGACGCAUUUCGGUGUGUAAACUCCUUUUAUAUGUCAAGAAAAUGACGGUAGCAUAUGAAUAAGCACCGGCUAACUCCGUGCCAGCAGCCGCGGUAAUACGGAGGGUGCAAGCGUUACUCGGAAUCACUGGGCGUAAAGGACGCGUAGGCGGGUUGGAAAGUCAGGUGUGAAAUCCUACAGCUUAACUGUAGAACUGCACUUGAAACUUCUAAUCUAGAGUAUGGGAGGGGGAGAUGGAAUUAGUGGUGUAGGGGUAAAAUCCGUAGAUAUCACUAGGAAUACCUAAAGCGAAGGCGAUCUCCUGGAACAUUACUGACGCUAAGGCGUGAAAGCGUGGGGAGCAAACAGGAUUAGAUACCCUUGUAGUC